Mustela lutreola (European mink) is the source of this 397-nucleotide long non-coding RNA. RefSeq lists it as uncharacterized. The record is from RefSeq and is a predicted model, not a curated record. Lineage: Eukaryota; Metazoa; Chordata; Mammalia; Carnivora; Mustelidae. The transcript is spliced from 3 exons.
AGUGCAGCCAAGCAGGCCAGGAGGUAGGCUGCCGUGACGAUGCACGAACCAAAGAGACACACAACCACACGGAUGGAUCUGAAACACGUGGUGUUGAUCGAAAGAAGCUGAAAGAAUAGGUCUGCAUGGAAAACAAGCCUUCCUGGUGGAUGUUUUCACAGCUUAUGUGAGGAUUACCAAAUACCAGAUCUCUGCUUACCUGCCUGGAGCUCCCUCUAACAGCACAUGAUUCCUUGCAGGAUGGGUUACCAGAAGGCAGGAUGUAAGAAGUCUCAACGACCAUGCCACAAAUCUGGUGGGAGCCAAGGGAAGCUCCUUGGGAGCUCAGGAGAGCUGCUCCAGGCCCCUCUGUGGUGGAGGCAAAGUUUGGAUCCAAUUCUCAUCCAGGGCAGAAAUG